Molecule: ribosomal RNA, 411 nt
Filed under: Verrucomicrobiota bacterium
Lineage: Bacteria; Pseudomonadati; Verrucomicrobiota
Description: Verrucomicrobia bacterium partial 16S ribosomal RNA
Rfam family: Bacterial small subunit ribosomal RNA
Source: RNAcentral
UGGGGAAUAUUGCGCAAUGGGGGAAACCCUGACGCAGCGACGCCGCGUGCGGGAUGAAGGCCUUCGGGUUGUAAACCGCUUUUGAUUGGGAGCAAGCCUUUUGGGUGAGUGUACCUUUCGAAUAAGCGCCGGCUAACUACGUGCCAGCAGCCGCGGUAAUACGUAGGGCGCAAGCGUUAUCCGGAUUUACUGGGCGUAAAGGGUGCGUAGGUGGUCUUUCAAGUCGGUGGUUAAAGGCUACGGCUCAACCGUAGUUAGCCUCCGAAACUGGAAGACUUGAGUGCAGGAGAGGAAAGUGGAAUUCCCAGUGUAGCGGUGAAAUGCGUAGAUAUUGGGAGGAACACCAGUAGCGAAGGCGGCUUUCUGGACUGCAACUGACACUGAGGCACGAAAGCGUGGGUAGCAAACAGG